UAAAAUCCACCCGUGCCUCCCUUUCUAUCCUGUUUUCUUCGAGCUCCUUUCCCCCCGGCCCCGACGCACCAGAGCGGCCCCCGGGUGCAACUCCUCGCCUCCACGUAGGACAUCCGCCGGCCCGCACGGAAGAGCCCAGGGAGCGCAGGCAGAGGAGGGUGGGGAAGGGGCUAGGGGUGCAGAGGAGGGCGGCGAGGGCUCAUUUACCGUGUGCCUGGCUGUAGGAGACCCUGGCCCGGGCAUGGGCGGAAUUGGCGUAGUAGGGGUUGCCCUGGGAGUCCAGGUGGUUGAAGAAGACGUCGACUUCGUCCGGAGGAAGAGGGAGACGGUGCCGCCAGCCGCGUCCUGGGAUCGCCCCGGCACGGAACGACUCCAAAACGAGGGAGCAUCGCCCCGGCGGAAAAACUACGGGAAAAACGGGGUUCGAAGCCUGCAGAUUUCCCCCUAAGCGGGGACAGAGGGGGUGUCCGAGCAGAGGGCUCAGGGGGGUGAGAGACCCGCGGAGGAGCCGGGCUGCGCAGCCCAGGCUCUUGGCGCUGCUGUCCCGGGUUGUCCCGGGGCCACCCCCGAGUGGCAGCGGCGACACUGGGGGCAAGGAGGAGGGGUGCUGCUUCCCCUUCAUGCCCGCUGGAAGAGAAGGCUGUUUUCCUCUGCCGUUUAGCUUCUGUACUAAAGAUGUCAUCUGAAAGUCUGGGAGGAAGGGGGGACCGCGCUCAGCUCUCUUCCACGGUAACAACCAUAUUCUGCAGAGGAAAAAUAUGAUAGACAGCAAGGAAAGCGCUUUUUUUUUUCCUAAAAAAAAAAAAAAAAAAGGAAAAAGGAAAGAAAAAAAAAAAAAGAACCAACCUUUUCAAUAUUUAUUCAAAAAAAAAAAAAAAAAGAGAGGGAGAGAAUUUAAAAAAGAGAAGAAGCAGCACCAGCAGCAGGGAGAAUAUAGGCUCAGCAACUCUCCAGGUUCGCUUCCUUAUUAUUACUAUCCAGGGGUAAUUUUUCAUCUCUGCUAGCUAAUCUUUGUUCCUUGUGAAGAUAAUGAAUAGCCCAAUCCUUAUCUCCUGGGCUCCUGGAGGCUGCUGGAGAAUGGGGUUGAACAGGGUUGAAAAUUGGUUCCAAAGUGCUGCUGAAUAAAUGGUGUUCCUUAUCUCUCGCUUCCAGAUUAUCGGAACCCUUUCAAAACUCACACAACAAAUACAGCCACCACAUCUAAUGCAUCAUUUACCAGAGCAGAUCUCCGCGUUUGAUCGGCAGAUAGGCAAAAUCUAUGUGUUCCUUGCCUUGCUUAGUAUGCACGGACGCCGGGCUGCGGUGCGUGCGGGGUGCCCCCGCCGGGCCUGGGACACCCCCGGGGCUCUCAGCACACGCAGCCCUGAGCUGGGGCGAGGAGAGCGUCCCCAGCCCGUCCCCGAGCCGGGGGAGCGGGGUGGGAUGGCAAAACCUCCUUGCAAGGUGCCCAUCUUCGAUAUUUGGCUGUGCUGCGCUGGGGAGCCCCGGGGAGGGGAGCGGAGGACCCCAAAAUGGGGAGCCCCCCUCCAGCCGCGGGCAUCCUGAGCCUGGGGAGCGAGCGGUGAGCACGGGGGAGGAAAGAAAACCCCACAAAAAGGGAGUCUUUCUCCCUCCUGGAGUCACAGCGAAGUCUGCUCAGGGCAGCAUCAGCCUUUUUUCUUUCUGGCUUUGUUUUUCUUUUUUUUUCUUCCCUUUCUGUUUUCCUUUUAUUCUUCUUUUUCCUUCCUUUUUUUUUUUUUUUUCUUUUUCUUUUUUUUUUUUUCUCCUCAUUUUUUUCCAGGUUUUCUUGUUUCUCCUCUUCCUUUUUAUUUUUUAAUUUUAUUUUUAUUUUUGAAAAUGCCAACAGAACAACCACCACCUCGCAACCCGCCCGCCUCCAGGGCAGGUGAUUCUGAGCCGGGGAUAGACAUCCCCGCAGCUCCCUCUUUCCCUGGCAUCCUCUGACCGGUGCCCGGUCACGGCACAAGGCAGCAUUUUAUUCUGCACACCUCUGUCCCCAGCACUGCCCCGUUAGGAACUGGAUGUCCCCAGUGCCCCAGUCCCUUCUGCCCAUCUGGCAAGGGCAGAGGGGUGCCUGGCUUCUGCGGUGGGCGAGGAGGGCUCGUCUGACCCCUUCCUUCUCCUGGAAAAGGAGAGAAACUUUUGUGGGACGUUCUGGGCGAGCAGCAGCCCCAUCCAGCCCCUGCCCGUGCUCAAGAGUUUUGCAAAUGUUCAACUUGUACUAAUUUUUUUAUGGCUGUAUUCACAGUUGUUCCCCAUAAAAAAUGGACCUGUGUUAGUUUAUUAAUAACCUAAACAUUACGUAUUAAAGACCUAUGAGUGACACAAGAUGACAAAAAGCUGUAUUUUUCCAAUAUACACAAGCACACAUUUAAUAACCUUCUAUUGCAUCUCAGCUAGGCCUUCUCUCUGAUGGUUCCCAUGGCAACUGAGAUAAAAAAGCAGCCAUUUUCCAUAUCUCUAUGAAAGUCUAUUAUAUUGCAGGAUUAGUUCAUCUUCUGCUAAGGUCAAACACAAAGUCAUACAACCUGAAAUAUUUAGAAUCCAUGUACAUUCAUUUUUUUAUAUGCCCUUUCAUUUUCCACAAAAGGCUGGGCUCCUCUGAGGUUUUAUUCCCCAGAAAAUGCUAAGCAAAGCAAUAAAAAAAUCAUGAUUAGCAGCUGA
This is a non-coding RNA of Anas platyrhynchos (mallard), 2664 nucleotides long. The record is from RefSeq and is a predicted model, not a curated record. NCBI's taxonomy places the organism in Eukaryota, Metazoa, Chordata, Aves, Anseriformes, Anatidae.